AAGUCGUAACAAGGUUUCCGUAGGUGAACCUGCGGAAGGAUCAUUAAAAGUGAUUGGUUAUACAUUUCAUGUAUCAACUGCAUUAGCCAUCCCAUGCAGAUGAUACCCUUUGCCCUGGUUUGGCCUUUUCCCCAUUGGGGGCCUGACCUAGGUCACUCUUGCGAUGUGAAACCCAAGAGAGUCCCCAUGGGAGGUAAUCAUUAAAUUCAUGUAUCCAAUGUCUUCUGUCUGAACUGUUUAUAACAAAUAUUAAAA
Molecule: unclassified non-coding RNA, 255 nt
Filed under: plant metagenome
Description: partial contains small subunit ribosomal RNA and internal transcribed spacer 1
Rfam family: Eukaryotic small subunit ribosomal RNA (bases 1-46)
Source: RNAcentral